CGGGAUUAUGGUAUAGUUGGGUGGUCACAGGGGUGCCUGCACUAUGCUGCUAUAUCUCCAGCUCCUCUCACUGUCGGUGUUGACGACGAUGAGGGUUCACUCAACAUGGCUGAAGAGGUAGCUAUCUGGCGCCUUGAGGAUUAUGAUAAACAGCAACGGGCCCUCAAGCAUAGUUUCAGAAUCGAUAAGGUGCUGAACCUAAAUGAGGUGGACUACCGGCUGGUUGGGUUCCAUCCCGAUCACGACACCUUCUUCUUUGUCAGCAAGGGUAUUUGGGAGGGCGAAAAGGCUUCAUUGGUGUCGUGGGACAUGCGGCGUCGCCAACUCUCUUGUGUUCUCCAUCUCGAGAAAAGCAGUGUAGCGCCGUAUCUGCCUUAUGUUCCUCUCUUCUCAUCGGAGCCACUAGCAGAUGCAGAUGGGCACUAAUUCAGUUCGCUUUGUGCUUGGGCUUGCUCCGAUCAAUGGAAUAAGCAUGUAUGUGUACACCUGCACUUCUUAAUCUUCUUGAAUUGUGUUAGUCACUUUGUUCUGUGGGGCUAAAUUAUACUACUGUUAUCCAGCUUUCUUGGCCAUUGCAUGCCGUGAUUGCGGUUGUACUGAAUCCUAGUAUUAGUGAGUGCUACUUGUGAACUUUGUUUUGUUCCUUUUUAGUUAUUAUAUGUUUGCUGAUGCUUACGAAUUCAGUCUUGUUUCGUAGAUGAAUUCGGUCUUAUGCAGCAGACAAGGUCAUGAAAUAAGUGCAUAAUGCAAAC
This 752-nucleotide long non-coding RNA is filed under the name Triticum aestivum (bread wheat). RNAcentral's name for it is "long non-coding RNA (TAES_LNC016476)". Lineage: Eukaryota; Viridiplantae; Streptophyta; Magnoliopsida; Poales; Poaceae. The record is from RNAcentral.